UUUUCAGAAAAAAACAAAACAAAACAAAACAAAAAACCUCUGUUUGUAUCUGUAGACAAAGAUCUGUUCAGAAUGGUUGGCUUUGUGAGUUUACAGCUGGCCAAUGAGAGGUGCUGCAUGAUAUUGGAAGAUGGGACAGAAAGAACCAGUAUUCUGCAGAGGCAGUUGCAUGAGCAGAUGUGAAAUGUCCUGGAGGCUCCCCCAAUAAGCUGAGAAGCAUCUGCUUUCCCACUAUAGAUGGAGACCAUUGAAGGAAGCUUCCCAGAGAUUUCAGAAUUGCAGAAGCUUCUGUGAGCUAUGAAGAACAACCUGACUUUGACCUUCAGACUGAGAUAUAGCUGGAGGCUGCUUUGACCUUCUUUCCCACAGCUCUUUUGACCUUUCUAAAGCCCCAAACCCUAUCUUAAAAAUGACAAAUAUGGAAUGCAAAGAGCAGCUUUUCUUUUUCUGAUCAUGGCAUUAAUAUAAUACAAUAGUGAACCAUCUAGCAUAGUGAUUAAGAACAUUGGCUGUCGAAUUAGACAUAUUUAGUUUAGCAUUUUGAUUCUACCCCAAAUUGGCAAAGUUACUGAAUGUGUCUAAAUUUUAAUUUGCUCAUUUGUAAAAUAUGGCUAAUAAUAGUACUAUUUUUUAGCUCAUUUAUAAAGUAUGGAUAAUAAUAGUGCCUAUUUUAGGGUGUUCUGAAUAUUAAAAGAAGUAAACCACGUAAAGCACUUAGCACAGUGCUGGAUACUAACAAUCGUUAUUGUGAUCUAACUAUAAUUUUGCUUAAAAACAUUUGUUCAAGUUUUCUUAUAUCAUCUCCUCUAUAAAUAUGAGAAUUUAACAUGAAAUUUUAACUCUACAAGUUUAAUGGGAGCUAAAAU
This 866-nucleotide non-coding RNA is filed under the name Pongo abelii (Sumatran orangutan). Lineage: Eukaryota; Metazoa; Chordata; Mammalia; Primates; Hominidae. The record is from RNAcentral.